This 21-nucleotide ribosomal RNA is filed under the name Lophocolea heterophylla. RNAcentral's name for it is "partial 23S ribosomal RNA". Lineage: Eukaryota; Viridiplantae; Streptophyta; Jungermanniopsida; Jungermanniales; Lophocoleaceae. The record is from RNAcentral. RNAcentral also lists the same sequence under 6 other names.
ACCUCGAGAUGAGUGCUCUCC